GGUUGUGGCUCAGUGGUAACGUGCUUUCCUAGCAUGUGUGAGGCCCUGGGUUCCAGUCUCAGCACCA
Molecule: transfer RNA, 67 nt
Filed under: Marmota monax (woodchuck)
Lineage: Eukaryota; Metazoa; Chordata; Mammalia; Rodentia; Sciuridae
Description: tRNA.Ala
Source: RNAcentral